CUGGAGGGCCCGGCGGCGGCGGCGUCCUGGAGGGCCCGGCGGCGGCGGCUCCUCAUCCAAAGAAAUGAGGCGACGUUUCGGAGGUCCAGGCGGUCGGCCCGGUGGAGGUCCUGGAGGAGACGGUCCCGGCGGUGGAGGUCCAGGUGGGUGGCCCGGUGGAGGUCCUGGAGGAGACGGUCUCGGCGGUGGAGGACGGCUGGGGGAUCCGGCGGUGGAGGUCCGAAGGCGGCUCGUGAUUAGACCAACCAGCUCCUCAUCCAUGGAAGGAUUGAAGGAGUCACUGGGGAUGAAGAUCACUGGGGAUGAAGAUCACUGCUCAGGGGCUGACGACCACCCCCCCCCCCCCCCCCCCCCCUCAUCUUUCCGGAGAAGCGUCCUCAAGGUGCAGGCGGUCAAACCACCACAUCUUUGAAGAGACCAAGCAGCUUGAUGACUGACUGGUUCCUUAUACUCCGGAGCAGAGGACGGACCAAAGGCCCGCAGCGCAGCAGACUAGAGACUCUGUGGAACCGGUUCAAUAAAGUUGACCUCUCCUUCAGGCGACUUGAAGGGAGACCAGAUGUGCGGCAGCUGGGUGUCGCGGUGCAGAGACCCAACGCUGCACUGAACUACACCAGUGUGUCCUACGCCCCCAUAAACCCUGAGGAUCCCUGGCUACACCAGCACAUUAAUCCACACCCAACAUUAACACGCAGUGCACACUCUAUAGAGUUUGUAAGUCCGCCCCUUGCGGCGGGACCUCGUGAGAUCGUAAGAUAUGACUGGGUUUCAAUGGAGAGAAAGUCAUUAUUUUCUCCAUUAUGUUGCACCACAUUUUGGGGGAAGAAUGUUUGAAUCAAUCUUUGUCAUUUAUUUCCGUACUCCAUAUCUGUAAUCCCAGCUGUUGUAUUUUAACACGGUAGCUGGGAAUCCUCUUUAUAGGGAGCGACUAGAGGGACGAGGCUGGAAGCAAACCUGAGCCUGGCUCUUAACCUUCUUUCUAAACCUAAUGCCGCAAUUUAACCGCAAAUAAAGUGAGGCCUAAAGUAACUUGACUCUCUUACCUAAACUUGCUUGCCUAAACUCGCUUGUCUAAACUCGCUUGCAUAAAAUCUGAACUUGCUUGGCUAAACUCGCGUCACUUGCCUAAUACCUGAACUCGCUUGCCUAAACUCGCUUGCCUAAACUCGCUUGCCUAAACUCGCUUGCCUAAACUCGCUUGCCUAAUACCUGAACUCUCUUGCCUGAACUCUCUUGCCUGAACUCUCUUGCCUGAACUCUCUUGCCUGAACUCUCUUGCCUGAACUCUCUUGCCUGAACUCUCUUGCCUGAACUCUCUUGCCUGAACUCUCUUGCCUGAACUCUCUUGCCUGAACUCGCUUGCCUGAACUCGCUUGCCUGAACUCGCUUGCCUAAACUCGCUUGCCUAAACUCGCUUGCCUAAACUCGCUUGCCUAAACUCGCUUGCCUAAAACCUAACUUGCUCAGCUUGACUCGCUUGCAUAAUAACUGAACUCGCUUGCAUAAAACUUGCUUAGCUUGACUCGCUUGCCUGUACUUGCUUGGCUAAACUCGCUUGCCUAAUACCUGAAGUCGCUUGCCUGAAGUCGCAUGCCUAAUACCUGAAGUCGCUUGCCUAAAACCUAAACUUGCUUGUCCAAACAUGUUACACAAAGUUAACCAUCCAUAAUCUUUAACCCAAACCAGACUUGUCCCUGGGUCGCUCCACUAUAAUUUAGAAGUUUCUUCUUUUACCUCAUCUGCGUUUUGAGUUUCAUUCUUUGAGGGCUUGAAGUGCUUUGGAGGAUAUUUGAACCUUUGUUUGCCGCAUUUGUUCGCCAAAUGUUCAGUGUCCUUUGACGUAAUGUCUAUGGUCUGACGAUAAUCUGACCUCUUCAUGAAGCAGAA
This is a long non-coding RNA of Gadus morhua (Atlantic cod), 1887 nucleotides long. RefSeq lists it as uncharacterized. The transcript is spliced from 6 exons. Lineage: Eukaryota; Metazoa; Chordata; Actinopteri; Gadiformes; Gadidae. The record is from RefSeq and is a predicted model, not a curated record.